GGGUCAGUAGGUUGGUCGUGCCACCGGUACGUACUGGUCUCACUGAUUCCCCCUUCCUGAAGAACCGUAAUGCCAUUAAUUUGGUGUUGCGGGGAAACAGGACCGUUACUUUGAAAAAAUUAGAGUGUUUAAAGCAAGCUAACGCUUGAAUACAUUAGCAUGGAAUAAUGAAAUAGGACGAUCGAUCCUAUUUUGUUGGUUUCUAGGAUUGACGUA
This 216-nucleotide ribosomal RNA is filed under the name Glomeromycotina sp. RNAcentral describes it as "partial small subunit ribosomal RNA". The stretch from base 75 to 216 matches the Rfam family "Eukaryotic small subunit ribosomal RNA", at positions 721 to 864 of the family's 1831-position model. Lineage: Eukaryota; Fungi; Glomeromycota. The record is from RNAcentral.